GGCAUGUUGUGGCUUCGUUCUCACUGGUUUUGAAGAACUUUUUUAUUUCUGCCCUCAUUUCAUUGUUUAUCCAGUCAACAUUCAAGAGCCAGUUGUUUAGUUUCCAUGAAGCUGUGUGGUUUUAGGUUGGUUUCUGAAUUCUGAGUUCUAACUUGAUUGCACUAUGGUCUGAGAGGCUGUUUGUUAUGAUUUCAGUUGUUUUGCAUUUGCUGAAAAGUGCUUUACUUCCAAUUAUGUGGUCAAUUUUAGAGUAGGUGUGAUGUGGUGCUGAGAAGAAUGUGUAUUCUGUGGAUUUGGGGUGGAGAGUUCUGUAAAUGUCUAUCAGGUUUGCUUGCUCCAGGUCUGAGUUCAAGCCCUGGAUAUCCUUGUUGAUUUUCUGUCUGGUUGAUCUGUCUAAUAUUGAAAGUGGAGUGUUAAAGUCUCCCACUAUUAUUGUGUGGGAGUCUAAGUCUCUUUGUAAGUCGUUAAGAACUUGCCUUAUGUAUCUGGGUGCUCCUGUAUUGGGUCCAUAUAUGUUUAGGAUCGUUAGCUCUUCUUGUUGUAUCGAUCCUUUUACCAUUAUAUAAUGGCCUUCUUUGUCUCUUUUGAUCUUUGUUGCUUUAAAGUCUAUUUUAUCAGAGAUGAGGAUUUCAACUCCUGCUUUCUUUUGCUCUUCAUUUGCUUGGUAAAUCUUCCUGUAUCCCUUUAUUUUGAGCCUUUGUGUAUCCUUGCAUGUGAGAUGGGUUUCCUGGAUACAGCACACUGCUGGGUUUUGGCUUUUUGUCCAAUUUGCCAGUCUGUGUCUUUUGAUUGGUGCAUUUAGUCCAUUUGCAUUUAGGGUUAAUAUUGUUAUAUGUGAAUUCGACACUGCCAUUUUGAUGCUAGCUGGCUGUUUUGCCCGUUAGUUGUUGUAGAUUCUUCAUUAUGUUGAUGCUCUUUAGCAUUUAGUGUGAUUUUGGAAUGGCUGGUACUGGUUGUUCCUUUCUAUGUGUAGUGCCUCUUUUAGGAGCUCUUGUAAAGUAGGCCUGGUGGUGACAAAAUCUCUGAGUGCUUGCUUG
Molecule: long non-coding RNA, 1037 nt
Filed under: Callithrix jacchus (white-tufted-ear marmoset)
Lineage: Eukaryota; Metazoa; Chordata; Mammalia; Primates; Cebidae
Description: lncRNA (ENSCJAG00000066320.2)
Source: RNAcentral